This 45-nucleotide non-coding RNA is filed under the name Schistosoma haematobium. Lineage: Eukaryota; Metazoa; Platyhelminthes; Trematoda; Strigeidida; Schistosomatidae. RNAcentral also lists the same sequence under 1 other name. The record is from RNAcentral.
ACCCAGCUGACAAGCCCCAGAUAGGACGAAAUGCGUGUCCUGGAU